UUUGGGCCAUACCACCCGCCCAAUCUCAUCUGAUCUCAGAAGCUAAGCAGAGUCGGGCCUGGUUAGUACUUGGAUGCGACUUGAAAGUUCUUAACCUGCUUUCCACGAGAGAUUCUUCAACCAACACAU
Molecule: ribosomal RNA, 129 nt
Filed under: Peromyscus maniculatus bairdii (prairie deer mouse)
Lineage: Eukaryota; Metazoa; Chordata; Mammalia; Rodentia; Cricetidae
Source: RNAcentral